GCGCCCGCUGACGACCGGCGCACGGGUGCGUAACGCGUAUGCAAUCUACCUUUUACAGGGGGAUAGCCCAGAGAAAUUUGGAUUAAUACCUCAUAGUAUAUGGCCUUGGCAUCAAGGCCAUAUUAAAGAUUUAUCGGUAAAAGAUGAGCAUGCGUUCUAUUAGCUGGAUGGUAAGGUAACGGCUUACCAUGGCGACGAUAGAUAGGGGCCCUGAGAGGGGGAUCCCCCACACUGGUACUGAGACACGGACCAGACUCCUACGGGAGGCAGCAGUGAGGAAUAUUGGACAAUGGGCGGGAGCCUGAUCCAGCCAUGCCGCGUGCAGGAAGACUGCCCUAUGGGUUGUAAACUGCUUUUGUACAGGAAGAAACACUCCCUCGUGAGGGAGCUUGACGGUACUGUAAGAAUAAGGAUCGGCUAACUCCGUGCCAGCAGCCGCGGUAAUACGGAGGAUCCAAGCGUUAUCCGGAAUCAUUGGGUUUAAAGGGUCCGUAUGUGGAUGAUUAAGUCAGAGGUGAAAUCCUGCAGCUCAACUGUAGAAUCGCCUUUGAUACUGGUUGUCUUGAAUUAUUGUGAAGUAGUUAGAAUAUGUGGUGUAGCGGUGAAAUGCAUAGAUAUCACAUAGAAUACCGAUUUGCGAAGGCAGAUUACUAACAAUACAUUGACACUGAUG
RNAcentral lists this ribosomal RNA (673 nucleotides) under uncultured Bacteroidota bacterium. RNAcentral's name for it is "bacterial SSU rRNA". It matches the Rfam family "Bacterial small subunit ribosomal RNA", at positions 81 to 751 of the family's 1533-position model. The record is from RNAcentral. Lineage: Bacteria; Pseudomonadati; Bacteroidota.